UACGAAGGGGGCUAGCGUUGUUCGGAAUUACUGGGCGUAAAGGGCGUGUAGGCGGCCAGCUAAGUCACGUGUGAAAGCCCCGGGCUUAACCCGGGAAUUGCGCGUGAGACUGGUUGGCUAGAAUCCGGGAGAGGGUAGUGGAAUUCCCAGUGUAGAGGUGAAAUUCGUAGAUAUUGGGAAGAACACCAGUGGCGAAAGCGGCUACCUGGACCGGCAUUGACGCUAAGGCGCGAAAGCGUGGGGAGCAAACAGG
This 253-nucleotide ribosomal RNA is filed under the name uncultured bacterium. RNAcentral describes it as "partial 16S ribosomal RNA". It matches the Rfam family "Bacterial small subunit ribosomal RNA", at positions 524 to 776 of the family's 1533-position model. The record is from RNAcentral.